UGAAGUAAGAGGGAUAGCAGUAACAGACGAGCACAGCUUGAGCCUCACGCAGGGGUAGCAGGAGUUAGAUGAGCACUUGUCAUGCUGGACCAUACCAAGAGUACUUCCUUAGAGUUUGCAAAAUGAGUCUCGCACGCAGACGAUGGGGGAAACACAGGGUUUUAAUGACACUUACAGCAUCCCAAAGGACCAUUCAAAGCAACAAAAAACCCUGGUGAUGUCCUUAAAGACAGCAGAUGGUUUCUUCAAGGACAAUGAAACACCAUUGGGAAGCUUUCCUUUUCCAAGAUAUUUCAAAGUUUCCAGAUCUGGCCAGAAAAAAUAGUAUAUAGUGCAAUAACACCUGGAAAGUGUCCUUAAUUAUCCUGUAAGCUUGUGUUCAAAAUGUCAUCAGUACUGAAGAAUUUAAUGCAUCCAUAUUUGGCCAAACCUUCCACUCCAUUUUCAGGGUUGGGUGAGUUUUUAUUUUUCGUCUUCAUAUUCAUAUUCUCCCUUCAAUUCCUGUCCAACAGAUAUCUGUCACUUCUCCAAGGAAGUAUUAUCUCCCAAUAGAAAUUCAAGCAUGACCUUUUCCACGGGUAAAAAACUUACCGCUCACCAGUGCAAACUGUUUUGAGACUGUACCUCCCUGAUGCUCUGUCUAAAGUAGUCUGCUGCCAAUGGCUUUAACCAAUUUGUUCUGAUUCUGCAGUCAGAUUUGAAGCCUGUAAAGCAGGCACGUCCUUUUGAAGAAAAAAAAUACUCUCUGAAGGUAGAAGAAAGAAAGUAUCUGUUUAUAACUUUUUUUGUUUGGGUUUUUCUUUUUUAAAAAGAGUUACUUCUAGAAGGAUGGUGAAAAGGUCACAGCGGAAUUACAGGAGAAAGUGCCCAUAGAUCAGCCGUACAAGCUGCUUUCAAAGCAAGUUUUCAGGACAAAAAGAUAAAACAUAAUCAAAGACAACAACUUCUUUUCCUUUUACCUAAAAGGCCAUGUGAAAUCUCAGCCUUGAGAAGGAUGGAGGGAGACGCAGCCUCAGACCAGGCAGAGCUUCACUCAUCAGCUCUCUGCAUCAGCUCAGGUGCCAUGUGGCUCCCGACGCCUCGCCUCUACGGUCAGAGCAAUGCACCUUAGGAGAAUAAGUGUAUUAUUUCUUAUGUUUGUUUAUUUUUUUUAAAUAAAAUCCCUCAGGGAGCCCAUCCUACACGGGUGUGAGAGGCCACCGCAAAAAUUUAGUCUUAUCUCUUUUUUUUGUUUGUUUGUUUUCUGAUGCAAAGAUAAGAGCUUCUCUUGGAGCAGAAAGUCUGGGGAAAAUUAAUGGGCAUGUGCUGAGAGAAACCUGUGAGACAUUAAAUGAAAAAGAAGCAGCAGGAAGGCAGAGAAAACAUGGGCUCUGGGGUUAUUGCUUUCAUUUUUACCACUUAUGCAGGAGGCCUGGAGUAGGGGGUUAGCAGCUGGAAAUGAGUGAAGCAGAAGGCAGCCCUAUACAGCUUGCUAGUGAAAAUUAGUUGGGGAAACACUCUGUUAAAUCCAAUAAGCAUACACAUGAAAUCUAACCCAGAAGUACUUCACUGUAAGAGUUAUGUGCAAAUUAAAUGAUAGCAAAGAGAGGGAACUUCGUACUCAAAGAGACAUCAUCAGGAAUGGUCGACUUCCCUCGGCACAGCCAGAGCCGGGCUCGCCAUGCUGCUGCUGCCGGAGGGGCUUGGGCUUUAGUUCAGAUGAAUCCUGUCCUGCCUUUGUCUCCCAGGGCUGCGGUCACAUAUCACAGGGGAGGGGAGGCAGCAGCUCUGCACUGUGAGAUUUAAACACUGGUCCCCAGCCGACCUGCUAAGCCCGAGCUCCCUUCACCUGAGCACAUAUAUAGUCUGAAAAAGCACACUUUGCCUUUACCGCCUAUAAACCAUUAAAGCUAUUUUCCUAAUUGGCUUACAACUGUUGUAAUGUAAGAGUUUUAACACUGUGAAUAACGAUUGCAUUAUGAUUAGAUAAGCAGUUUAA
This is a long non-coding RNA of Athene cunicularia (burrowing owl), 1978 nucleotides long. RefSeq lists it as uncharacterized. The transcript is spliced from 3 exons. The record is from RefSeq and is a predicted model, not a curated record. Lineage: Eukaryota; Metazoa; Chordata; Aves; Strigiformes; Strigidae.